RNAcentral lists this ribosomal RNA (468 nucleotides) under uncultured bacterium. RNAcentral's name for it is "partial 16S ribosomal RNA". It matches the Rfam family "Bacterial small subunit ribosomal RNA", at positions 28 to 507 of the family's 1533-position model. The record is from RNAcentral.
GACGAACGCUGGCGGCGUGCUUAACACAUGCAAGUCGAACGGAAAGGCCCUGCUUUUGUGGGGUGCUCGAGUGGCGAACGGGUGAGUAACACGCGAGUAACCUGCCCUUGACUUUGGGAUAACUUCAGGAAACUGGGGCUAAUACCGGAUAGGAGCUCCUGCUGCACGGUGGGGGUUGGAAAGUUUCGGCGGUUGGGGAUGGACUCGCGGCUUAUCAGCUUGUUGGUGGGGUAGUGGCUUACCAAGGCUUUGACGGGUAGCCGGCCUGAGAGGGUGACCGGCCACCUUGGGACUGAGAUACGGCCCAGACGCCUACGGGAGGCAGCAGUGGGGAGUAUUGCACAAUAGGCGGAAGCCUGAUGCAGCAACGCCGCGUGCGGGAUGACGGCCUUCGGGUUGUAAACCGCUUUCGCCUGUAACGAAGCGUGAGUGACGGUAAUGAGUAAAGAAGCACCGGCUAACUACGUG